RNAcentral lists this ribosomal RNA (270 nucleotides) under uncultured bacterium. RNAcentral's name for it is "partial 16S ribosomal RNA". It matches the Rfam family "Bacterial small subunit ribosomal RNA", at positions 88 to 354 of the family's 1533-position model. The record is from RNAcentral.
CCGGCGACCGGCGCACGGGUGAGUAACACGUAUGAAACCUGCCCGUAGCAGGGGGAUAAGCGGAAGAAGUUCCGUCUAAUACCGCGUAACAACCCAUGGAGGCAUCUCUGUGGGUUUAAAGGAAGCGAUUCCGGCUACGGAUGGUCAUGCGUCGCAUUAGCUUGUUGGCGGGGUAACGGCCCACCAAGGCGACGAUGCGUAGGGGUUCUGAGAGGAAGGUCCCCCACACUGGUACUGAGACACGGACCAGACUCCUACGGGAGGCAGCAG